Papaver somniferum (opium poppy) is the source of this 880-nucleotide RNA transcript. It is a transcript of the gene named serine hydroxymethyltransferase-like, with no coding region annotated. The transcript is spliced from 5 exons. The record is from RefSeq and is a predicted model, not a curated record. Lineage: Eukaryota; Viridiplantae; Streptophyta; Magnoliopsida; Ranunculales; Papaveraceae.
UACUGCCAAUGACUUAAACUCUUUAUUAAGUGAAAGAAAAACAAUGGUCAUGAUUCAAUGGCAACAAAUCGAAGCUCUUCUGAAGGCAGCUUGUCAACUUCCUCUCCACACUUAUGUGUCAGAAAAAGGAAAAGCAGCUUCUGAACCUCAUUUGUUCCACCAGAUGAUGAAGCUAUGUAUCCACCGGCAAUCCCGAGUGAGAACCCAAUAUGAUAUGGCAGAUGAAGCAAAUAGGAUACCCUUAAUGGUUCUCUUUUACAGUCUUUGUAUGAGUGCAUGUGCUAAGGUUACAGGUGCAGUGGUUACAUCUGCAGAGAGGGUUUACGAGGAACUGACGAAAUACAGAAAUGUUGAAGUUGGCUGGAGUUCUCAUUCCACCUUAGCCAACAUCAUCACAAGGUCAGUUCUUGUUGAGAAGACAUUUGCACCUUUGGUAUUUGUUCCUCAUCAUCCUUUAAUCAAGCCGUCUUUCCUGGGCUUCAAGGAGGUCCACACAAUUACUGGAUUAACAGUUGCACUGAAACAGGCUACUAAUCCUGAGCACAAGGCUUAUCAAGAACAAGUUCUCAGAAACUGCUCGCAGUUUGACAAAACCUUGAACGCGUCUGGAUAUGACCUUGUAUCUGGUGAGUGGUGGUACUGAGAACCAUUUAGUCUUGGUCAAUCUGAAAAACAAGAUGUUGCGUGCUUCUCUAUGUAGAGAGUUCUCCAACCACAUGUGUGCGCCAAGUAUACAUGGUGCAAAAUUGAAGGACUUUAUGGCCGCAGUUGAAAACAGUCCUAGCAUUCAGUCUGAAAUAACAUAUCUCCGUCAUGACGUUGAGGAGUACGCAAAGCAAUACCCUACAAUUGGGUUCUGCAAAACAACAGUGAGAUACAA